This 298-nucleotide long non-coding RNA is filed under the name Eucalyptus grandis. Its description in RNAcentral is "long non-coding RNA (EGRA_LNC007375)". Lineage: Eukaryota; Viridiplantae; Streptophyta; Magnoliopsida; Myrtales; Myrtaceae. The record is from RNAcentral.
AACCCGCAGCAACUAGAAAGAGAGAAAGAAGGAAGAGAGAAGAAAUAGAGAGGAGGAGAAAGAGAACGUAAAAGAAAGAAAGAGAGGGCUGUAUUUUCUGUAAUCACAGAAACCUUACACCCAUUGUAUUUAUAUUGAAUAUAAUUGUAUAUAACAAUAAUAUCCUUAUGUAAGUAAAAAAGGAAAUAAAACUCUGAUAAUAAAGGAAACUUAAUAAAGUAACUUAACACUCCCCCUCAAGCUGGAGCAUAUAGGUCGCCUAUACCCAGCUUGGAACAACCAGCAACAAAAAAGCAAG